CUGACAUCCCCUCAGCCUGGAGGGCGCCCUCCUGGUCCCCUCGUAUCUGACAUCCCCUCAGCCUGGAGGGCGCCCUCCUGGUCCCCUCCUGUCUGACAUCCCCUCAGCCUGGAGGGCGCCCUCCUGGUCCCCUCCUGUCUGACAUCCCCUCAGCCUGGAGGGCGCCCUCCUGGUCCCCUCCUGUCUGACAUCCCCUCAGCCUGGAGGGCGCCCUCCUGGUCCCCUCCUGUCUGACAUCCCCUCAGCCUGGAGGGUGCCCUCCUGGUCCCCUCCUGUUUGACAUCCCCAGAGUUACUCCUUGGGUCCUUUGAGAGAUGAGACACCAGCUGCACCCAGCAAGCCCUGUCCCCACCCCCAGCUAAUCAAGGCAUUACCCCGGAGGCCGGGCGCAGUGGCUCACGCCUGUAAUCCCAACACUUUGGGAGGCCAAGAUGUGAAAAAUUCACAAAUGGGACUUCUUGAAAGAAUCAAAACUUGAGAAGUAACUGAGAAGUAGAAGCAGCUCUUAACAAGCAUCAGGGGCUCAGAAGAGGUAGCUCUUCCCAGGGCAUCCAGCGGGCGAGCUGUUCCAUGUGCCUCUGAACCCAGCUUCCCACUUAGCAGCAGGUCUUGAGUGCACCUGGCAUACACCUGUGCAAUUCUCGUCAACACAGAACACCUGCCUGCCCACCCCCGGUGCUGAAGACCGACCAGUCAAGGAGGUGUUGGUGGGAGUGUUGUGUUCACCAUGUGGAGAUCAGGCGGCGAUUACCGCAUCUUCUUUGCUGACUUUGGUAACCGGGUGUCCAGGGAGGAGCGAUCGGGAGUGGCCAAGCAGUUGCCUGGACUCAGCUUCUGACUCUGCAGCUGGGAGUCAGAUGCAGGCCCAAGGGUCCAGGGGAGUUGUUCAGCGCCUGGAAUCGCCAUGCAUUGCGCGGUGGACCGCACGACGCUCCUGCUCUGUUCUCCCAGGCACAGACAGGCACUUGGAAGGCAGCUUUGCUCCUCUGGCCACCCGGAAACCUCCCAGCAGUUCAGAUGGGACAAACUGGGGGCCUGUCAGAACAGCCACUUGUGCCGGGAAGGCCAGGCCCCGGCCUGCUCCGAUGAACGUCAGGACGGUGGCUGCAGCAGGGAACCAGGGCUGGCCUUGGAUCUGUCCAGUAGGGUCACUGACUGGGCAGGGCUUGCUGCAUAGAGGAUGGCUGCAUUUUGUGCUCAGAGUUGGUUGAAAUGGCUACGAAGUGUGGAGAAUAACCACUGAAUCCCAAAAAGUCACUGCGCUUGAUCUGAUCCAAGUAACAGUGACUGCAGUUAGGGUCGAGAGCUUCUCCGAAGCAGCGGUCAUGCAGGCUUUUGUGUGGCUGACGCUUCCCUUUUUCACAACAGUAAAAAGCUAUCAAUGGGAAAUUGUGGACUUUUCCCACCAGGGACUCAAUGGGGACUCAAUGUGCAAUAUUCAGUCAACAUAAAACUCUUUAAGAACUCC
RNAcentral lists this long non-coding RNA (1468 nucleotides) under Homo sapiens (human). RNAcentral describes it as "non-protein coding lnc-EXOC3-3:3". Lineage: Eukaryota; Metazoa; Chordata; Mammalia; Primates; Hominidae. The record is from RNAcentral.